RNAcentral lists this long non-coding RNA (624 nucleotides) under Triticum aestivum (bread wheat). RNAcentral describes it as "long non-coding RNA (TAES_LNC023053)". Lineage: Eukaryota; Viridiplantae; Streptophyta; Magnoliopsida; Poales; Poaceae. The record is from RNAcentral.
CGCAACACAGAUCUUCCCAUCCAGCAGCAAUAAAUCCUCAUCAUUACAGUACCAUAGCAUCACCCAUUACUGAGCAGCUUACAUACUUUAGUGGUAUAAGUGAUCGAAACUAGUCCCAACACAAGCACUAGUAGUUGGUAACAGAGUUGCAUCAUAAAGAAACAUCGUCAUAAGUUCCAGGUGACUCGCAGGCCUCAAGCAGCAGGUAAAACGAUCAGCAAAACAAGAUAGCCAAACGCUCCAGCAGAAUGGGUACUUCAUAGAGCGGCCGCCUCUCCACCACUCGGCUUGGCGCUCAAAUUCUCCACAGCACAAUACCCUGGCAUGACCUACACGCGCAAAGACAAGCACCGCGUCUGUUAAUGAACAUCAUCCGAGACAGUAACUUCAGGCUUCAGGGCGAUUCGUACAGCACCAGAUGCCUUCAGGCUUCAGGAUGGAUUUUGCCAGUUAAAUGAAUCUAUAUAUUCGUAAAAGGAAACCCACUAAGCCCAGUGUACUGUUCACUGAGCUCUUUGUCUUGAUUCUUACCAGUGUUGCUUCACCAGGUGCCCCAUUUGACCGUUGCCGUUUUGAAUCACGGUCUUGCUCAGCCGUUGCAAGUUCAUCCCUUGAAUUCUUUCU